RNAcentral lists this ribosomal RNA (433 nucleotides) under uncultured bacterium. Its description in RNAcentral is "partial 16S ribosomal RNA". It matches the Rfam family "Bacterial small subunit ribosomal RNA", at positions 29 to 507 of the family's 1533-position model. The record is from RNAcentral.
AACGAACGCUGGCGGCAUGCCUAACACAUGCAAGUCGAACGAGACCUUCGGGUCUAGUGGCGCACGGGUGCGUAACGCGUGGGAACCUGCCCUUAGGUUCGGAAUAACUCCCCGAAAGGGGUGCUAAUACCGGAUAAUGUCUUCGGACCAAAGAUUUAUCGCCUUUGGAUCGGCCCGCGUUGGAUUAGCUAGUUGGUAGGGUAAAAGCCUACCAAGGCGACGAUCCAUAGCUGGUCUGAGAGGAUGAUCAGCCACACUGGGACUGAGACACGGCCCAGACUCCUACGGGAGGCAGCAGUGGGGAAUAUUGGACAAUGGGCGAAAGCCUGAUCCAGCAAUGCCGCGUGAGUGAUGAAGGCCUUAGGGUUGUAAAGCUCUUUUACCCGGGAUGAUAAUGACAGUACCGGGAGAAUAAGCCCCGGCUAACUCCGUG